RNAcentral lists this long non-coding RNA (1028 nucleotides) under Serinus canaria (Common canary). Its description in RNAcentral is "lncRNA (ENSSCAG00000001147.1)". The record is from RNAcentral. Lineage: Eukaryota; Metazoa; Chordata; Aves; Passeriformes; Fringillidae.
GCUUGGAUUGUAACAAAGCUUAAAGGUAUUUGCCUAUUACUUACAGAAGGCAGAAAAGAAACACCUCAAGGUAUACUCAAAACAGAACUUCAUGGCCAACUCUGCCUGGAGCUACUUUUGUCAGAGCAGCUGGAAUUGUUUUAAUUGUAGUUCCUAUAAUCAUCAUUGUAAUUGACUACUGCCUCUUCUGCAGAGAAGAAAAACAUGAUGGCCAUUCAAAUAUCUAAAAUAAAAAGCCCAGAAAAACUAUCAUUAUUCAUGGACUGCAAUUGAGUUUGCACCUUCUGCUAACAGCUGUUGGAAGACACCAUGAAAGCACUAUUUUACAGCCCUUCUUACUUUGUUAUUUGCACUAUGUUUUAACCCUGUGGUUUAUGGUCAGUAAAAGAAAGAGCUGCAAACCAAGCUAUUCAAGAGGCAAAAACUUGGUGCAAUUACUCACCACAUGGCAAACAUUAAUGACACAGCAGCUAUUUAGUUUGCUGAGUUAGGUGAGUGAUCUUAUUUGUAAAAUUCUAACUUUCCACUUUCUAAGAAAUUAUGAUCAUCAUGACUGUAAAACAAAGAAGAAAGCCUUGGAUACUCCUGCACAAAGUGUUUUUAUGACACUGACUGGAACUUAAGGGAAGUUGAACUGCUUCAUUCCUUUAACAAUUUUCAUAUUCUUGUUAUUAUGACCCUACUACUAUGAAGCUGACUAUGGAACAAGAUCAAGCAGAAGACAGGACCACUAAAAUUGCUAUACUUGAGGAAAGAACAUGCAUAUUUACACAUCUGGCUUCCUUACAUUCACUGUAUCCUCUGGAAAGUCUAGAGGUUGCCUUUUGAAGUAAGGUAAGGCUAAUUAAAUCCUUGGGAAUUUAUUUUGAGAGAGGCUACCUAGAUAUAGAAAUAUGAAAAGCUAGAAUAAUUUUUAAUUGAAACUUUUUCCAGCAUUGUCAACUCCAGGAGAUCAUUCAUAAGUACAUGCACCAGAAAAUGAAUUGUCAGCUUUUAAAUGAUUAUAAAACUAAAGGAAAGCAAAUCUG